GGUUUAGAGGGGCAGAGAGAAAAACCAAAAGAGUGAUCACUUGUGAGAAUUGAUGUUCCAUUUUUGAGCUUCAAUUCAAUUUCGAGAGUAGGACAUACACUUUGAUUGCACCACAUAAAAGACACAAAUGUGGGCGCUGCAAAGGUAUCAUCCAGACAAACAUUCAAGGAAAUGAAGGUUUCUUUUGUGCUUCAAGCAAGUAAUCCUUAUUUACUUGAUUUUUUAGACACCCAAGCAAACCCUAGUGCCCAAGCCACCGCUGCUGAAGUAUAUAAAUGGACAAAGACCCAAAACUUGAAGACUACCGAAACUCAUAGAGAGAUCAAGUGUUUUAGGAUUGUUAUUGUUCUUUGUCAUUGUUACUUGUGAUCAUACUUUGUUCACUGAUUCUAUAAAGCAAAGUUAUGAUCUGUGGUGUUUGAAUCUUCAAACUCUGAUUGUUGAUUGCUAGUUACCAAUCACUAGGGCAGUAAUUGAGAGAAAGUGAGAGGGGCUCUCAUACUUAGGUUGAGAUACUAAGUAGAAAUACACUUGGUAGAUUAGGAAGUGAACUAUGAAUUGUGGUGUUCAUGAGUGUCUGUAAUUCCUGAAUAUUAAGAUAGUGGAUUUCCUUUCUUUUGGUGCAAUCCCUCCAGACGUAGGUGAAGUUUUUCACUGUACUGGAUUAACAAUUCUUGUGUCUUGUUUACUUGUGUUUUUAGUUACUGAUGUUACUGUUAGACGAUUGUUGAACCUGUUGUCCUAGCAUCUCGUAGGACAUUGGGUCUAAUGGAACCUGAAUUUCAUCAUCCAAUAUUAGUUUCAAAUAUUGUUCUUAGUCUUCUACGGUGUCCAAAAUUUUAAAUAUGGGCCGGGUUAUAUAAGUCCAAUUGAAGCUAUUUCGCUUGUAAUCUGGAUAAAAAAACAUAUGCUUUCGGGCUUUCUUAAGGUAAUAUUCUGAAUAAGUUUUCUAGGUGGGGACUUGCAUCUAUGGAAAACCAAUGUGCAACUAUUAAGCAAAGAUUCAUUAUUCAAAUCAAUGUCCAUCGGUAUUAUUUGUAUAUUUUAUUUCUUUGGAAUUGAAGUGUACAAUGUCCAAUCAAUUUUAACUUUACUGCUUUGCACAUCCAUAUCGAUCCAAUAUAUGCUCCCAUUUGACUGCAUAAUCCUUAACACGUUUUUUAGAAUAAUGUGGUGCUUCCAUUGCACAUUUUCCAAAGUCGCUGUACAGUUUAUAAUCGUUUGACAAAAUUAAUUAUUUCAAGUGAAUAUAACCCUCGCUGAUCCCCUUAUUCCCUCGCUAAAACUCGCGAAAUAUUCUAAACCCUUUUUGUUUUUAAUUUCUGAAAAAUAGAAACCCAGGUCUCGUUCGAAAACCCUUAGCUCUCGUUCCUCUCUUCUAUGCUCCAAUGGCGAAAACUCUUUCACUGAGGUUUCUUCUUCCUUGGGAACCCUUGCUUUUUCCCUCUUCUCGCGUUCCUCUUCACGUUUCUUCUUCUCGAUUGCAAACGUUUCAGGUUCGAUCUCCACUUUGGUUUCAUCUCGUUUCUGCAAACGCUUCAGGUUCAGAUCGGUUCGAUCAUCUCGUUUCUGCAAACGCUUCAGGUUCAGGUCGGUUAGAUCAUCUCGUUUCUCCAAACGCUUCAGGUUCAGAUCGGUUCGAUCUUCUGGUUUCUGCAAACGCUUCAGGAUUGGCAACGAAGAGAUUGGGGUUUUCACAAACAGUUCCGAUCUUGAUACUUAGGGUUUGGAUUCUCUGUCUGCUUGCUGCUCUAUCUUCAUCGCCCAGGACUCAAUUCAACGGGUAAGAAACAAGACCAGAUUAUGCAGGAAGUUCAUAAGCUAAUUCUGAAUUGUUUGAGUAGAUUUCUAUUUGGAAUGGGCCACUUAUUGACCCUUGUGUUCUGUUGCUUUGCUGUUGAAGAUUUGGCAGGAAUGAAUUAGAUUGGAAGUUGAGAUAUUCUACUCACUGUCUCUAAUGUUCUACUUAUUAUUAGCUGUAUGUGCACCAAAAAUUUGGUAUUAUAUGGUUGUAGAUUUUUGCUGUGAAAUGAAUCUAACUAUCAGAUAAAACCACUACCCUUGUUUAUGGCUUCAGAAUGUCACAACUGUUUGUUUUGUGAUGAUGUGGUGGGGCUUUUGGCAGACUGUCUGAGAUGAAUGAGACAGAAACAGAGUUGUAUGUUUUAUGAAUCUAUGUCUAAAUGACCAGAAUGACUCCUUGUUACAUAUGUAUGAGAAUCAAAACUAUAGUCUUGAUGUUGUUGUCUUGUACUUAAUAGUUUCCUUAUUGUAUUUUGGAGCUGUAUAUUCUUUGACCAUAAAACAAGGACCUAUAUUUUAUUCUUUCUUAGUGGUGCUUUAUCUCUAAUUCACACGUAAAACACUGUAGGGAGGAAUAUAGAUCAGUCUAUUGUUACUUCUUCCAUGUUAUAUUUCUAUGAACAGUGAGGUAUUCUGUUUUGCUUGCUCCUCAUAAGAGUUUGUUAUGAAGCAGAUUUUUUUUAUACUGUCAUUUUGAGCUAUUUAUCAUUUUGUUGCUUGCUAUUUUUUGUUUUUGCUUUGUUUAUGCAGUGAUGCCAAGGUUCAAGCGUUUCCACAACCCACAAAAAUCAGCACCUGGAUCAUUGGUUGAAGCUUCUUCACAAUCAAUUGAAGCUUCUUCACAAUCAGCUCCUGAAGUCUCUCAAAAAGCCCCACCAUCUAAGAACCCCGUGACUACACCAUCUUGGAAUGUUGAAGCAAUAGGAACACACCUUGUGUUAGCAAUUAACUCUUACAAAUGAGAGUUUUAAAUUAAAUCAAACAAUGAUGAAAUCUGUUAUUUCAGGGAUCCACACCAUGCUCUUUUCAACCAACAUAGCUCCAAUGUAAUUGAUACUGAAAGGGAAUCUGCGACAGAUUUGGAAGCAAGCGGAUCAUGGAGUGUUUGUUAUUUUAGAUCUUAAGUGGUUGUGCACUUUGUUAGUGUUAUUUUAGAUAUUGUAUGAAUUAAUGAUUUCAUAAGUUGUUUGAUCAAAAUUUUUGAUCUGUUUGAGGUCAUGGUAAGAAAGUUGUUUGAUCAAUUAAAAAAA
Molecule: RNA transcript, 3053 nt
Organism: Lotus japonicus
Lineage: Eukaryota; Viridiplantae; Streptophyta; Magnoliopsida; Fabales; Fabaceae
Exons: 5
Source: RefSeq, a predicted model, not a curated record